AGUCCAUGAGUAGGGCAUUGCACCACCAACUUCUUAAAUCUUAGCCAUGUCUCAUAUAUAGGCUCACCUUCCAAGCAUUUAAAACCUUGGAUCUUAUCCAUGAGUAU
Small nucleolar RNA from Solanum stenotomum, 107 nucleotides. The record is from RefSeq and is a predicted model, not a curated record. Lineage: Eukaryota; Viridiplantae; Streptophyta; Magnoliopsida; Solanales; Solanaceae.